Molecule: unclassified non-coding RNA, 243 nt
Filed under: Pleosporales sp.
Lineage: Eukaryota; Fungi; Ascomycota; Dothideomycetes; Pleosporales
Description: partial contains 5.8S ribosomal RNA, internal transcribed spacer 2, and large subunit ribosomal RNA
Source: RNAcentral
CGCACAUUGCGCCCCUUGGUAUUCCAUGGGGCAUGCCUGUUCGAGCGUCAUCUACACCCUCAAGCACUGCUUGGUGUUGGGCGUCUGUCCCGCCUUUGCGCGUGGACUCGCCCCAAAGUCAUUGGCAGCGGUCUCUGGCACCUCAACGCGCAGUACAAUGCGUCCGUUGGAGUGUCGUGGGCGCGACCAUAAGCUAUUACCGUCUUUGACCUCGGAUCAGGUAGGGAUACCCGCUGAACUUAA